Folsomia candida is the source of this 1861-nucleotide RNA transcript. It is a transcript of the gene named endothelial lipase, with no coding region annotated. Lineage: Eukaryota; Metazoa; Arthropoda; Collembola; Entomobryomorpha; Isotomidae. The record is from RefSeq and is a predicted model, not a curated record. The transcript has 7 exons.
AAGCGUGACAUAUUACAUACGGUACUCCUCCCCUUAUUUUAGAACAAUGAGCAAAUGCAAUUAGUUGUACAAAUCCCAUUUUUUGUAGAAAAUAAGACUGCAUUCUUAUUGUAAAAUCCUGUUUAGUUUAAACCCAACUGAGGACACAUUAAUAGCACAGAGCAAAAAUGACCCAACUUCAUAAGUAUUUCUUAUUUGUGUUUUUUAUUAAUUUAUCACACUCAGAAAUAUCAAGGGAUACUAACCUCGUAAAGUUUGUAUACUACGGGUCCGGUUUUGGGAGAAAUGAGUCUGGCACCGAAAUUGAUAUGACAUCAAACUCGAAACCAAGUCUUAUUCGAGACAAUGCCAAAACCACCUUUGUCAUCGAUGGAUUUCUCUCCCACGGUAACACACCAAUGUCACAAACUAUCAAGGAUGCCCUAGUUAAAACUCGACCCUCCGAAAAUGUAAUUGUGAUUGACUGGGGGGCACUUUCUGGUUCCGGGAAUCCCAUCGUGGCCCUCAACUUGCUUCGAACUUCGCAAACCUACUUGUUCGUACUUGGCAAUGUGGGUCCAGUGGGACGGAAGGUGGCUGAAUUUGUCAACUAUCUGGCAAAAGUCGCUUCCAUUGAACCGUCUCAGAUGCAUGUGAUAGGUCACAGCCUUGGUGCUCAUAUCGCUGGCGCGGUGGGGUUCUGGGCUACCAGCGAUUUCGGAAAAAAUAUGACAUUGGGAAGAAUAACCGGAUUGGAUCCUGCGGGUCCAUUUUUUAGCGGUGGGCUUAACAUGGAUAGACGACUGUCUAAAGGGGACGCCACAUUUGUAGACAUUUACCAUACAAAUAGAAACGGGUUGGGUGACAGUGAUCAUAGAUUAGGAGACGUGGACGUUUACGUUAAUGGGGGAGAUAAUCAACCUGGUUGUGGAAAUGUUGAAAAGAAAGAAAUUUGCUCUCAUUCCUACUCCUGGAAAUUGUACGCUGCCACAUUCUACCGAGACAUAAAGGCUUGUCCGUGCAUGGGAUUGGUCUGUCAGUGCAGGGCAAACUGCAGGAUAAGCUGCCCCGAUUCUAUACCAAUUGGGGUCAAUAUUCCAACAGGAUCUCGAGGAGCAUACCAUGUCGUCGAGAAGGAUACAUUUCAAUGAACAUUGUAGUUCGUUACUUGUACAAAUAGGUAGGUUGCGAGUUUACGGGUUCUCACGUCAACGCUAACGUAAACGUAAAAUUUGGCGUUAACGUUUACGUUUACGGGAUGCACGAAUUUCGUGUGUGCGAAUUAACGUGAACGUAAACCUGUGCGCUAAAUUUGAAUUUAAUUCCAAUGGUUUGUUUACAUUCUUCAUGCAAUAUUUGCUCAUUAUAAUUAAUUAAUUUAUCUGAUUAUAAACUAGCUUGAAAUACCAGUGUUUUCAAAACAAAUAAUAAAGUUACUGUCGGUAUUGACCGACUUCGAAAUAGAAGACAUUCUUCGUUCAAAUAAUUUAAAUUAAUCAAUUAAAAGAAUUACAAUUUUUAAAUUAAACUCCAUGGUGUACGAGUUCUUUUUCCUAAACUUUGGAUUUUACAAAAAUAAGUUUGAAACUUAUAUGCACCCUUAAACUUCGGGGUACGAUUGCUUGUCAGCGAGGACACUUCGUGCAUUACUCUGAGGAUUGCAUAUCCCAGCAGAUUUGUGGACUUGAUGUUACUUUUUCUUCUUGCUCAUUGCAGUCACGGAUUUUUCACGGCAACCAAACUUCGGAUACUUUUGUGAAGCAAUUCCAGAUCAUGAGUAUUUACAUUUUCCAUGAAAUUGUGUGUAUAAGAAAUCUAGGCCAUGUACUAAACCUUUAUUCUUGUAAUGUAUAAACAAUAAAUUUACUUGUUUCUAAUUAAA